GUCGUGAGACAGUUCGGUCCCUAUCUGCCGUGGGCGCUGGAGAACUGAGGGGGGCUGCUCCUAGUACGAGAGGACCGGAGUGGACGCAUCACUGGUGUUCGGGUUGUCAUGCCAAUGGCACUGCCCGGUAGCUAAAUGCGGAAGAGAUAAGUGCUGAAAGCAUCUAAGCACGAAACUUGCCCCGAGAUGAGUUCUCCCUGACUCCUUGAGAGUCCUGAAGGAACGUUGAAGACGACGACGUUGAUAGGCCGGGUGUGUAAGCGCAGCGAUGCGUUGAGCUAACCGGUACUAAUGAACCGUGAGGCUUAACCUU
Molecule: ribosomal RNA, 313 nt
Filed under: Escherichia coli
Lineage: Bacteria; Pseudomonadati; Pseudomonadota; Gammaproteobacteria; Enterobacterales; Enterobacteriaceae
Description: partial 23S ribosomal RNA
Rfam family: Bacterial large subunit ribosomal RNA
Source: RNAcentral